AGAGUUUGAUCAUGGCUCAGGAUGAACGCUAGCUACAGGCUUAACACAUGCAAGUCGAGGGGCAGCAUGUUGGUUGCUUGCAACCAACGAUGGCGACCGGCGCACGGGUGAGUAACGCGUAUCCAACCUACCCUUGUCCAUCGGAUAACCCGUCGAAAGGCGGCCUAACACGAUAUGCGGUUCACAGCAGGCAUCUAACGUGAACGAAAUGUGAAGGAGAAGGAUGGGGAUGCGUCUGAUUAGCUUGUUGGGCGGGGUAACGGCCACCAAGGCUACGAUCAGGUAGGGGUUCUGAGAGGAAGGUCCCCCAGACUUGGAACUGAGACACGGUCCAAACUCCGUACGGGAGGCA
Molecule: ribosomal RNA, 352 nt
Filed under: uncultured bacterium
Lineage: Bacteria
Description: bacterial SSU rRNA
Rfam family: Bacterial small subunit ribosomal RNA
Source: RNAcentral